RNAcentral lists this transfer RNA (72 nucleotides) under Crassvirales sp. RNAcentral's name for it is "tRNA-Lys". It matches the Rfam family "tRNA". Rfam says of the family: Transfer RNA (tRNA) molecules are approximately 80 nucleotides in length. Their secondary structure includes four short double-helical elements and three loops (D, anti-codon, and T loops). The record is from RNAcentral. Lineage: Duplodnaviria; Heunggongvirae; Uroviricota; Caudoviricetes; Crassvirales.
UCCCCUAUAGCUGAAUGGUAAAGCUGCACACUUUUAAUGUGAGGAUUAUAGGUUCGAGUCCUAUUGGGGGAA